This 403-nucleotide ribosomal RNA is filed under the name uncultured bacterium. Its description in RNAcentral is "partial 16S ribosomal RNA". It matches the Rfam family "Bacterial small subunit ribosomal RNA", at positions 28 to 526 of the family's 1533-position model. The record is from RNAcentral.
GACGAACGCUGGCGGCGUGCCUAAUACAUGCAAGUCGAACGAAGUGGGGACGGGUGAGGAACACGUGGGUAACCUCCCAUCAGAGGGGAUAACACUUGGAAACAGGUGCUAAACCGAGACGGAUGGAUGAACCCGCGGUGCAUUAGCUAGUUGGUGAGGUAACGGCUCACCAAGGCAACGAUGCAUAGCCGACCUGAGAGGUUGAUCGGCCACUCUGGGACUGAGACACGGCCCAGACUCCUACGGUAGGCAGCAGUAGGGAAUCUUCGGCAAUGGACGAAAGUCUGACCGAGCAACGCCGCGUGAGUGACGAAGGUUUUCGGAUCGUAAAACUCUGUUGUUAGAGAAGCGGUAUCUAACCAGAAAGCCACGGCUAACUCCGUGCCAGCCGCCGCGGUAAUAC